This 450-nucleotide ribosomal RNA is filed under the name uncultured bacterium. RNAcentral's name for it is "partial 16S ribosomal RNA". It matches the Rfam family "Bacterial small subunit ribosomal RNA", at positions 354 to 796 of the family's 1533-position model. The record is from RNAcentral.
GUGAGGAAUAUUGGGCAAUGGGCGAAAGCCUGACCCAGCCACGCCGCGUGAGUGAUGAAGGCCUUCGGGUUGUAAAGCUCUGUGGGGAGGGAAGAAAAAGCGGGAGAGUAACUGCUCUCGUGUUGACGGUACCUCCUUAGCAAGCACCGGCUAACUCUGUGCCAGCAGCCGCGGUAAUACAGAGGGUGCAAACGUUGCUCGGAAUUACUGGGCGUAAAGCGCGUGUAGGCUGACAUGCAAGUCGGGUGUGAAAUCCCAGGUCUCAACCUUGGAACUGCACUCGAAACUGCACGUCUUGAGUACUGGAGAGGGAAGCGGAAUUCCGGGUGUAGAGGUGAAAUUCGUAGAUAUCCGGAGGAACACCAGUGGCGAAGGCGGCUUCCUGGACAGUAACUGACGCUGAGACGCGAAAGCGUGGGGAGCAAACAGGAUUAGAAACCCCGGUAGUCC